GUGGGGAAUAUUGGACAAUGGGCGAAAGCCUGAUCCAGCCAUGCCGCGUGUGUGAAGAAGGUCUUCGGAUUGUAAAGCACUUUAAGUUGGGAGGAAGGGCAGUAAGUUAAUACCUUGCUGUUUUGACGUUACCAACAGAAUAAGCACCGGCUAACUUCGUGCCAGCAGCCGCGGUAAUACGAAGGGUGCAAGCGUUAAUCGGAAUUACUGUGCGUAAAGCGCGCGUAGGUGGUUUUGUAAGUUGGAGGUGAAAUCCCCGGGCUCAACCUGGGAACUGCUUUCAAAACUGCUGAGCUAGAGUACGGUAGAGGGUGGUGGAAUUUCCUGUGUAGCGGUGAAAUGCGUAGAUAUAGGAAGGAACACCAGUGGCGAAGGCGACCACCUGGACUGAUACUGACACUGAGGUGCGAAAGCGUGGGGAGCAAACAGGAUUAGAAACCCGGGUAGUCC
This 450-nucleotide ribosomal RNA is filed under the name uncultured bacterium. RNAcentral's name for it is "partial 16S ribosomal RNA". It matches the Rfam family "Bacterial small subunit ribosomal RNA", at positions 354 to 796 of the family's 1533-position model. The record is from RNAcentral.